GAGACGUUCAGCGAAGGUAUGAUUCCCGUUGUGAGGUUAAGCUUCAUAACAAUGAAGCUAAACAAGAUGCUUAGGAAAAAGCUCACCACAAAAGCCCUCAAGGUCAGCUGCUUCUUCCACGAAGAUCUACGAGAGGAGAGAUGGUGGACGGAGUAUUAUUGGAACGAGAAUCAAAGCUCUUAAGGAGUCAACUUGGACUCGUUUUUAACAUUCUGACAAAUCAGAUAGCUUUAUUAUACUUUAUUUACUUAAAAUUCUUUGUCGGUAUGUCUGUAAACAGCUAAUUAUAUUUGGCAUUUAAGUUGUUAAUGGUUUACUAAAUCAACACAAACACCAUUUAAGUUACAAGUUCUUAAA
Camelina sativa (false flax) is the source of this 357-nucleotide non-coding RNA. NCBI's taxonomy places the organism in Eukaryota, Viridiplantae, Streptophyta, Magnoliopsida, Brassicales, Brassicaceae. The record is from RefSeq and is a predicted model, not a curated record.